RNAcentral lists this ribosomal RNA (1281 nucleotides) under Apanteles gelechiidivoris. Its description in RNAcentral is "16S ribosomal RNA". The record is from RNAcentral. Lineage: Eukaryota; Metazoa; Arthropoda; Insecta; Hymenoptera; Braconidae.
UAAAAAAUAUAUUUUAUUUUAAAAUUUAUUAAUUUAAUUUUAAUUUAAUAAAUUAAAUUUUUUUUGUUAAAAUUUUAAAUUUAAUUAUUUUAAAAAUUACAAAUUAAUUUAUAAAUUAAUUAAAAUUUAAGAAAAAUUAAUUUUUUUUACCUUUUGUAUCAGGAUUAAUUUAAAAAUUAUUUAAAUUUAAAAUUCUCGAAUUUAAAAAAUUUAAAUUUUUAAUUUUAAUAAUAUAAAAUUAUUAUAUAAAAUAAAAAUUUAGAAACCAUAAAUUAAUCAAUUUUAAAAAUAUCUAGUUAUUUAGAAAAUAAAUUUAAUUUAUUUUUAAUUUAUAAAAAAAUAUUUUAUUUAAAUAUUUUUAAAAAUUAAAUAAAUAAUUUAAGGGAUAAACUUUAAAUUAAUUUUAUAAAUUUAUUUUUUAAAAAUUUUAUAAUUUAAAAAUAAAAUUAUUUUUUAUUAAAAAAUAUAUAAUAAUUUUAUAAAAUUUAUUAAAAAUUUAAUUAAAUUUUAAUUAAAUUACUAAAUUAAAAAAUUAAAUUAAUAAAUUUUUAAAAUAAUGAUUAAAUUAGUAAUAAAUAAUAAUUAAAUUUAAUAUAAUAAAUAAAUUUUUAAAUUAAUUUAAUUAACUAGGCAAAUUUAUAUUCACCUGUUUAACAAAAACAUGUCUUAUUGAUAAUAAUUUUAAGUCAAAUCUGCUCAAUGAAUAAUUUAAAUAGCUGCAGUAUCCAUAACUGUACAAAGGUAGCAUAAUAAUUAGUUUUUUAAUUGAAAACUAGAAUGAAUGAUUUAAUGAAAUAUAAACUGUCUCAAAUUAAAAAAAUAAAUUUUUUAUUUAAAUAAAAAAAUUUAAAUAAAUAAUAAAGACGAGAAGACCCUAUAGAAUUUUUAUAAUUUUUUAUAAUUAAUUUAAAUUAUAUAAAAAUUAUUUUAAUUGGGGAAAUUUUAAAAUUUAAAUAAUUUUUAAUUAAAAUAAACAAUUAUUUUUGAAUAUUUUAUAUUUUAUAAAAAAAUAAAUUAAAUUACCUUAGGGAUAACAGCAUAAUUUUUUUUAAAAGUUCUUAUUUAAAAAAAAGUUUAUGACCUCGAUGUUGAAUUAAAAUUAAUUUAAUAGAAAAAUAUUAAAAAUUUAAGUCUGUUCGACUUUUAAAAUUUUACAUGAUUUGAGUUAAGAUCGGUGUAAGCCAGAUCGGAUUCUAUCUUAUUAAUUAUUAAAUAUUUUUGUACGAAAGGAAUUUAUAUUUAAAAUAAUUUUUAUUAUAAAAUUAAAUAAAUAAUUUAAUA